Molecule: ribosomal RNA, 654 nt
Filed under: uncultured bacterium
Lineage: Bacteria
Description: SSU rRNA
Rfam family: Bacterial small subunit ribosomal RNA
Source: RNAcentral
CUAGUUGGAGAGGUAAGAGCUCACCAAGGCAUCGAUCGGUAGCUGGUCUGAGAGGACGAGCAGCCACACUGGGAUUGAGAACGGCCCAGACUCCUACGGGGGGCAGCAGUGAGGAAUUUUCGUCAAUGGGGGCAACCCUGAACGAGCAACGCCGCGUGCAGGAAGAAGGUUUUCGGAUCGUAAACUGCUUUUCUCGGGGAAGAGAACGGACGGUACCCGAGGAAUCAGCCCCGGCUAACUACGUGCCAGCAGCCGCGGUAAUACGUAGGGGGCAAGCGUUGUCCGGAGUUACUGGGCGUAAAGCGCACGCAGGCGGUUCUCUCAGUUCCUGGUGACAGUCGUCGGCUUCACUGACGAAGGAGUGGGAAGACGGGAGAACUUGAGGGCUUCAGAGGGACACGGAAUUCCGGGUGGAGUGGUGAAAUGCGUAGAUAUCCGGAGGAACACCAACAGCGAAGGCAGUGUCCUGGGAAGUUCCUGACGCUCAGGUGCGAAAGCCAGGGGAGCGAACGGGAUUAGAUACCCCGGUAGUCCUGGCCGUAAACGAUGACCACUAGGCGUGGGAGGUAUCGACCCCUUCCGUGCCGGAGCAAACGCGGUAAGUGGUCCGCCUGGGGAGUACGGUCGCAAGAUUAAAACUCAAAGGAAUUGACG